UAGGGAAUCUUCGGCAAUGGGGGCAACCCUGACCGAGCAACGCCGCGUGAGUGAAGAAGGUUUUCGGAUCGUAAAGCUCUGUUGUAAGUCAAGAACGGGUGUGAGAGUGGAAAGUUCACACUGUGACGGUAGCUUACCAGAAAGGGACGGCUAACUACGUGCCAGCAGCCGCGGUAAUACGUAGGUCCCGAGCGUUGUCCGGAUUUAUUGGGCGUAAAGCGAGCGCAGGCGGUUUGAUAAGUCUGAAGUUAAAGGCUGUGGCUCAACCAUAGUUCGCUUUGGAAACUGUCAAACUUGAGUGCAGAAGGGGAGAGUGGAAUUCCAUGUGUAGCGGUGAAAUGCGUAGAUAUAUGGAGGAACACCGGUGGCGAAAGCGGCUCUCUGGUCUGUAACUGGCGCUGAGGCUCGAAAGCGUGGGGAGCGAACAGGAUUAGAUACCCUGGUAGUCCACGCCGUAAACGAUGAGUGCUAGGUGUUGGAUCCUUUCCGGGAUUCAGUGCCGCAGCUAACGCAUUAAGCACUCCGCCUGGGGAGUACGACCGCAAGGUUGAAACUCUAAAGUGAAUUGAC
Molecule: ribosomal RNA, 570 nt
Filed under: uncultured bacterium
Lineage: Bacteria
Description: partial 16S ribosomal RNA
Rfam family: Bacterial small subunit ribosomal RNA
Source: RNAcentral